Molecule: small nuclear RNA, 97 nt
Filed under: Spermophilus dauricus (Daurian ground squirrel)
Lineage: Eukaryota; Metazoa; Chordata; Mammalia; Rodentia; Sciuridae
Source: RNAcentral
AGCAUGAGCUACCUUUUAGAAUUGGAACAAUACAGAGAAGAUUAACAGGGCCCUGCACAAGGAUGACAUGCAAAUUCGUGAAGCACUUCAUAUUUUU